This 514-nucleotide ribosomal RNA is filed under the name uncultured bacterium. Its description in RNAcentral is "bacterial SSU rRNA". It matches the Rfam family "Bacterial small subunit ribosomal RNA", at positions 33 to 507 of the family's 1533-position model. The record is from RNAcentral.
UACGAGACGACGCUGGCGGCGUGCUUAACACAUGCAAGUCGAACGGAGAUUAUUAAUGAAGCUUGCGAUUUAAUAAUCUUAGUGGCGGACGGGUGAGUAACGCGUGGGCAACCUACCCAUAAGCGGGGGAUAACAGUUGGAAACGACUGCUAAUACCGCAUAAGCUAUUAAGGUCACAUGACCUUAAUAGUAAAGGUGGCGAUUUUACAUUGCUAUCACUUAUGGAUGGGCCCGCGUCUGAUUAGCUAGUUGGUGGGAUAGCAGCCUACCAAGGCAACGAUCAGUAGCCGGCCUGAGAGGGUGGACGGCCACACUGGGACUGAGACACGGCCCAGACUCCUACGGGAGGCAGCAGUGGGGAAUAUUGCGCAAUGGGGGAAACCCUGACGCAGCAACGCCGCGUGAAUGAAGAAGGCCUUCGGGUUGUAAAGUUCUGUCAAUUGGGAAGAAGCCCCAGGGGUCAAUAGCUCCUGGGAUGACGGUACCUAAGAAGGAAGCUCCGGCUAACUACGUG